Molecule: long non-coding RNA, 3582 nt
Filed under: Nicotiana benthamiana
Lineage: Eukaryota; Viridiplantae; Streptophyta; Magnoliopsida; Solanales; Solanaceae
Description: long non-coding RNA (NBEN_LNC038278)
Source: RNAcentral
GACGACCUACACUUGUAGGAUUUAAACUCAACUAACUUGUAAUGUACCUAUUACAAGCCACUUUGCAAGCACCCUAUUGCAAAGACUUCAAAACUAACUUGUGAUGCACCACCACAAGCCACUCUAUAACUCUUCUAGUUACAGAGGAUUUAACUUAUAACUAUCCCUAGUCACAACAUAAACUCUAAAGUUUACAAAUUUGGUUUGUUCCUAAUACAACAUUUCUAAGAAAGCAACCUAGGAAUUACAAUGUAGAACAAUAAACAAGAUUACAACUUAACUAUGGACGUAUAUAAGACUUGGUUAGAAACUAAUCCUAGUGGAGUUGUCUUCUUGCUCUUGACACACCAGUGACCUCAAUGCAGGAUGAAUGCCUUUUCUUCUUUUUGCAAUAUCACUAAAUGCACACAAAAUAGUGUGUGUUGCACUAGGUUGUUUUAACACAAUAGAUAGUGAUGUAACUCUUGGUGUACUUAUUCCCAGUGAUAAGUGACUGCUGCACUAUUUGCACAGCCACUUCUAGGUAGUUGCGUUCCAGCUGGAUAGUGGACUUUGUACUUCUUUCAGGACUCACCAACGGAUCAGGUCCUGGUUGUGUACCUUUUCUAUAACAGUUUCUCGAUGGUCACUUUCUUCUGCUAUGUUCCAACUGUGCAUUUGACCUGUACUUCUAUGAGAGAACCCCAAGGGAGCAGGUCCAUGUUUUUGUGUCUCUUUAUAUUAGUUGUGUGCAGUCAUUGACUUAUUCUUUUGUCGGAGAACUCUAAGGGACCAAAGGAUCGGUUCCCUGUUGUGGUCCUCCAUGCGGUCGUUCAUCCAUAAGUUAAUUUUCAGAAUUCAAACAGUUCAUGAGAUGUGUAUUCGGUGGGACAAGUUUCUCUAUCUGGUUCUUCAUAACAAGUUUGUUAGAUCAUCAAAACAUAAGAAGCAUAAGGCUAAGACAUAUGAAAACCUACGAAUCACCCCAAUGUUGUUUACAAUAAUUGUUACAAACCAAUGAAUUAAAUACAAAUACAUAAAUAAAUAGGAGUUAAUCUAUAAGGAGCCUACAGUAGUCCCAAAUGACUUCCCAAGCCUCCAAUAGCCUCAAAUACCAAAGUUCCACAGCCAAUUUCGUGUCUAGGUGCGUCGGAGUUCCCUAAGGACCUUAAGGAUCCCAGGUAGUGCUCACACCUAGACCUUUUCUCAAUAAUAACUAAUUUAGGUGCAGUGUGAAAAAGGCAGCUCUCACAUGCUAGAGUUCAGAGAGAUCUCAAGGAUCUCAAGGCAGUACACAUAUCAGAUGGGCGGAACCUAGUAUUCUAAGAGUAAGUGGAAGUGCAUAACAAUUGAAAGAGUUCAAUAGAAAGGUCUUAAGACCAAAAAGAACUUUGAAAACCAUUAGUGCUAAAAAAGUUUGAGGAAAAAUGUGAAGAAAUCAAUUGGCAAUCAGAACCAAGUCAUAAAACUAGUUUCAGGAACAACUUUCACAUAAAGGGGGAGGGAUUGGGAACUUAGGGGGUAUAUUUUAAUGGAGUAUAUAAACAACAAGACUUAGGGAGUUUUGAGGGGGUUCUACAUAUGCAGCAAAGAUCACAACAGAAACAUACAUCACACAGCUAGAAUUACUUUAAUGGUAUUGAUUGUCUUAGUAGGAAUGAAACAGAACAGGCAAGGACUUAAAAGAGCAUGUUGGGUGAGUAUUAACAAUGGAGACAUGCUAAUUAUAUAGAAACAGAGUCUAGGCAAGACAGUAGUUAGGCCAAACAUAUGCAGACAUGCUAAACAAGACAACAGACAAGCAAGUAAAGUGGAAACAUACUAAUCAUAGGUUUGAAUGGGUAAUAUUAGAUGUGCUUGCAUAAGCAGUAAACAGAAACAUGAACAGACUUAAGCCAUAUGAACUAAAGGAGUAAGUAAACACAAAGGUUUCAUUUUUAUAAACUAAUCAGAAGUAUACCCAGUUAAAGAAUGAAAAAAAGCACAACAUGUGAGAAAGGUAGUGUGCAACUUCCAGCCUUGGCUUGCAGCCGGCUAGAAUGGCAAAGAUCACAAGUAGCAAAAAGAGUAGAAAGAGAUUCUUUUAGAGUGUAAAAGAGUAGUGGUUUUGAAAUAUUGUUCGUUUUUUAGAAGUUAAAAUAAAAAGAGGUUUAUAUAGUAAAAAAGCUUAACAAAUAAGGUAAGAGAUCAAUUAAGUAGCAAAUCAGGGAAGUUUGUAGAAUCAAUCAGCAAGUCCUUCCCUUAAUCAAAGGAUAAUCAAAUCAACAGUAAAAGCAAGCUAAAUAUUUAAGGAAAAGAAUCAAGUAAGGUUUGGGUAUAGAGUAGGUAAUUAGGGGUAAAUGAGCAGAAGUUUCAAUUAAGGAAACAAUCAACAAGAAUCAGCAAAUUACAAACAAGCAAGGAAAAAUUAAUUAAGGCAGGCAAUUCAAUCAAAUCGAGUAGAGAGGUAAGAAUCGAAAGUUUAAGGGAAAGUAUUCAAAUUAAACAAGGAAAUAAGGAAUCAGAAGAAUUAAGGGUUCAAUCAAAGAGAAAGUCACGAAAGAGUCAGCAAGUUUAGCAUAUAAAAAGAAAGCAAGACAUGAAUAGUUCGGAUUCGACACAUAACUUUAACAAAAUAAAAAGUUAAACGACAAAGAUUCAAGGAGAAUGAUACAGGUCUUAACAUGAACAGUCGGGAUGAACACAAGCAUAUAAAAUAGUGAAGGGGUUGAAUUAAGAAAUUCAGUAGAAGCAUAUAGGGAAAGAAAAUCACGAGAAAUCACAAGAACCCAAAGAAAGAAUACAAUUAGAUUUACCAAUAACUAGAAACCAAACGAAGAACCCCCCAAAAAAUAGGGCUUUUAGUACAAGCGAACAUAGGUUGUAGUAGACUUACAAAAUCAGUCAAAUCAUAUGAGAAUCAUAAGUUUAAACACAAAAAUCAUCAAACAUUUUGUAAAAGAAAUUCCGGAAACCCUAGUUUAGACAAAGAUGAAAAUCACUUAAAAAUCAUAAGAUUCUUGUAAGAACCUCAAGGUUGUUGUAAAACUCACAUGAAAAAAGCCCAAAUCAUCUCAGGUCUGUACAGAUCUUAGAGGUUUAGAAAAAGAAAUUGGGGUUUCGAAGAGAAUAGCACAAAGGUAAAGAAACACGCUUAGAAACCAUAGAUCGUAGCCAAUAUAGGACGAUGGAAUCUCACCAGAAUGGCCUGAAACAGGCGAGAAAGUUACCAUACAUGCAAGUAAAUUAGCCUUGGUCCCUUGAGGACCUUGGAGAUGGAAAGACUAAAGUGAGGGAGGCCAUUGGAGGCCUGGGGGUGGUGAGAAAUCAUCACUGAUAGCCGUAGAUGAGCGUAAGUAAGGUUUGGUUAAGAUUAGGUCUGAGCGAGUUUGAGAGAAAAGAGGUGUUUCAGGGUGGUGGGUGGUGUAGAAUGAUAGGGUUUAGGGGUGGGUCUUUUGGUUUAUUUUAGGAAGGGUCGUUUGUGGCUGAUGAUCAUAGGGUAUUGGGGCCGGAUCGGGUCUUCAGGGUUUAGGCUGGGUAGUUUUAAUUAAAAAUUAGCCUGGUUUUGAGGUUGGAUUGGGGCUGAAACUGAAAUGAAAUUAGGCGAGAUUUUAAAUAGGCAUU